GACGAACGCUGGCGGCGUGCUUAACACAUGCAAGUCGAACGGACAGGCCCUGCUUUUGUGGGGUGCUCGAGUGGCGAACGGGGGAGUAACACGUGAGUAACCUGCCCUUGACUUUGGGAUAACUUCAGGAAACUGGGGAUAAUAUCGGAUAGGAUCUCCUGCUGCAUGGUGGGGAUUGGAAAGUGUCGGCGGUUGGGGAUCGACUCGCGGCUUACCGGCUUGUUAGUGGGGUAGUUGCUUACCAAGGGUGUGAAGGCUAGCCGGCAUGAGAGGGGGAACGGGCACAAUGGGACUGAGAUAGGGCGCAGAAGGGAACGGGAGGCAGCAGUCGGAAACCUUGCAGAGUGAGCGGAAGCGAGAGAUGGAAACGCCGCGUGCGGGAUGCCGGCCUUCGGGUUGUAAACCACUUUGGAAUGUGACGAAGCGUGAGUGACGGUAAUGGGUAAGGAAGCACCGGCUAACUACGUG
RNAcentral lists this ribosomal RNA (468 nucleotides) under uncultured bacterium. RNAcentral describes it as "partial 16S ribosomal RNA". It matches the Rfam family "Bacterial small subunit ribosomal RNA", at positions 28 to 507 of the family's 1533-position model. The record is from RNAcentral.